AGAACACAUUGCAAGUGACAGAAAACUUCUGAGCACAGAGCUGAAGCUUUUCUUCUUAAAUGCUUCUAGAAGAAUCCUCUCUUAUACGAGAGGUGGAAACAGUAGUAAGAAGGAGAAAAGGAGAGCAUUUAAUUCGAACACCCUUGGGUGUUCUUAAAGUCUCUUAAAAUUCUUGGUUGAUACUCAUUUAACCAGAAGUGACCUUUGGAAGUGGGAUGGUGUCUUGGUGUUUGUGGAGUCAGCUGUGUUGUGGGAAGUUGCAAUUGCAUCAGAGGAAUUUAAUGAGCUCAGCUGUGGCAAAAGCAGGGGCCAAAAAAUCACGGAGUCAUCUAUACCCAGAGAUUAAAAAGAUAAAACAAAACACCUCAAUGGAUUCCAGCCCUUCUUGACCAACAGUGUGGUCUCAAGCACAGUGGGAGAUGUGGGAAGCCUUCAGUGGCUUCCAGUUUCACACUCCAAUUCCUUCCUUCUCCUUUCAUCACUGAAAAAAAAGACCUAUUCAGAGAGGUUGUAUAUUCAAUCAAUACACAUUAUAGAUGCUGUCUGAGAGGGUUUUAGGUGUUGGAAAUACUUCAAGGGACCAGUUAGGUCCUUCCCUCAUGGACAGUUCUUUGAGGAAAGACAGAUACUAAUGGGCAAAGACAAAUAAUAUGUAAUAUAACUUUAGUUUGUGUGUUAGUUACUUGUUGUCUCUGUAAUAAACUCCAACAAACUUAGUGGUUCAAAACAACAUAAACGUAUAUCUUAUAUUCUGGAAGUCAACAGUCUGGUGUGGGUUACAAUCAAGGUGUUGGCAGAGCUAGGAAACUCCAGGGAGACCCUGAUUCAUUGCUUUUUCCUGCUUCUGGAAAAUUCUCAUCUUCUUAGCUCUUCCCUUUCUCGUUACUGACCUCUGUUUCCAGUGUCACAUGUCCUUCUCUGACUUUGACCCCUCUUCCUUCCUCUUACAAAGAACCUUUGGUCCCAUUGAAUAGUGAGGAUAAUGACCCUGACUUGAGAGCCUUCAUUUAACCACACCUGCAGAGACCUUUUCUGGGUAAGGUGGCUGUGUCAGUCAGCCUUUCAUCAUGGUGACCACACUACCUGACAAGAACAACUUAGAGAAGGAAAGUUCAUUUUGGUUCAUGGUAUCAGAGAUUUGGUCCAUGAUAGGUCAACUCCAUUGCUCUGGGCCCAAGGCCAGGCAGAACAUCAUGGCUGAGGGUGUGGUAGAGAGGAAAGCAGCUCACCUUCUGGCAGCCAGGAAGCAGAGCGAGGGUAGGAAGGGAACCCCCAAAGGGAAGGGGAACCCACCUCCAAAGACCCACUUCUUCCAGCUAUACCCCACCUGCCCACCGCUACCACCCAGUUAGUCCAUUCAAACCAGGAGGGACUGCUUAGGUGGCGGCUCUCCCAAUGCAAUCAUUUCCCUGUGCAUAUUCCUGCACGAACACAGGAGACUUUGCAGGAUAGUGCAUAUCUAAACCAUAACUGUAGCAGAGUCACAGAUCCAGAGUUUGGGAUGUGGCAGCCAUUUGCUGCCUGCUGUAGGUAGCUGUAAGUGUUAUGAAGAAAAAUAAAGCAAAGUGAAGGAAGAGAGAAUGCAAGGGGAAGAAGAGGCCUGGGUGGUGGGAAUGCUGGUGUCGGAGCAUGAAGUGUGGGCAGGAGAAAUGGCAAAGCCCAAGGAAGGACUUGUAGGUAGAGGGGACCGGGGAGGCACAGGCCCUUGUAGGGAGUCAGCCUGGGCCAUUGGAGAGACAGAGAGAAGGGUGGGUGCUGAGCAGAGUGGGCAAGAAGAAGAGUGGGAGACAACCAGGAAGGCGGGGCCUCAGGUGGGGCUUCACCAUUCAUGCUGAGGGCUUCUGAUCUUAUUCCAAGAGUAACGAGGACGUGUUGGUCAAGGAAAUGACGGGGUCUGUUGUAGUGACGGAGAGGACCCAUCUG
Molecule: long non-coding RNA, 1923 nt
Filed under: Marmota monax (woodchuck)
Lineage: Eukaryota; Metazoa; Chordata; Mammalia; Rodentia; Sciuridae
Source: RNAcentral